RNAcentral lists this long non-coding RNA (1820 nucleotides) under Piliocolobus tephrosceles (Ugandan red Colobus). Its description in RNAcentral is "lncRNA (ENSPTEG00000004798.1)". The record is from RNAcentral. Lineage: Eukaryota; Metazoa; Chordata; Mammalia; Primates; Cercopithecidae.
UAAUACAGAUAAUAGUAAUACAGAUAAUAAUAGUAAUACAUAUAAUAAUGACUUGUUAAUGUCUUACAACAACCAUUUUAAUAAUAAUUAUAACAGUAAUGAUUAUAAUAUUAUUUGUAAUAAUGGUAACCGAAGUGGUAGCACUAUUAAUUUGAAUAAGAAGAAAACAUAUAAAUAUACAAAUACAAACACAAAUACAGAUACAAGUAUAAAUACAGAUACAAAUUUAAAUACAAAUUUAAAUACAAAUACAAGUACAAAUACAAAUAUAAAUACAAAUAUAAAUACAAAUACAGAUACAAAUACAGAUACAAAUACAGAUACAAAUACAAACACAAAUACAAACACAAAUACAAACAACAAUGAUAAUUUAAACACAUUUAAUAAUUAUAAUAUAAAUAAUUAUAAUGAUUCAUAUAAUAAUUUAUAUCAUAAUAAAUAUGCUAAGAACAAUAGUGCUAGUUCAAAUAUAAAUACCCAUAAUAAAUAUAAAAACGAUAAUAAUCAGAACAGUAACAAUAACGAAUAUAAUAAUAGUAAUAAUAAUAAUAAUAGUAAUAAUAAUAAUAGUAAUAAUAAUAGUAAUAGUAAUAAUAACAAUAAUAAUAAUAAUAAUUACAAUAAUACUAACAAUAAUAAUAACAAUAAUACUAACAAUAAUAAUAACAAUAAUAAUAGUAAUAAUAAUAAUAGUAAUAAUAAUGUUCAUAAUAAUAGUAAUAAUAAUGUUAAUAAUAAUAGUAAUAACUGUUAUACACCUAAUAAAUAUUAUAAUAGUUAUGACACGUUUAAAAAUUAUAAUACAAUAAAAAAUAAUUAUAAUAUAGAAAUUAACGAACGUACAAAAAAAAAAACCGAAAACAAUGUAGACUGUUUAGAAAAUACAUCAGUUAAUAGAAAUUAUGUGAGUAAUAAUAACAAAAAAAAUAUAAAUUAUAUGAAACAAUAUUUUGGGGGUAAUGAAAAGAGUUAUAGUUAUAACAACAGAUUAUAUGUUAAUAUGAAUGAUUAUUCACAUUUUAACGAAUAUAAUAAUACAAAUCAAUGUUAUAAUUAUAACAAUAAUAUUAAUUACAAUAAUAAAAAUGUUAAUAAUAUUGUUACAAAUCGUAGUUAUAACAAUAUUAAUAAUGUUAAUAGCGGUAUUAGUAAGAACCAUAAUAAUAAAAGUAGUAACAAUAUCAGUAAUAAUUUUAAUAAUAAUUCCAUUAACAAUGUGGAUAGUAGUUUUUCAAUACUAAUAGUAAUAUUAGUACAUUUACACUUGGUUAUAAUUUUUAUUACCAAAAUAAAAAUAAUGAAAACGACAACAAAAUAACAGCUAAUAAUAUAUAUAAAAUGAAUAGUUAUAGUAAUAUCAAUAGAAAAAAUUUAAAAAAAAACUAUAUAAAAAAUUACACAAGUAAUAGCCAAUAUAAUAUAUCUAAUAACUUAUAUAUGUAUUGCAAUAAUUAUAAUAAUAUAUAUAAUUAUAAUAGUCAUCAUAUUAAUAAGAAUAACAUGAAUACUAUUAGUAAUGGUGUUGAUUUUUUAAAUAGUAGUAAUAAUAUAGUAUGUACAAGUAGUAAUAAUGUAGUAUGUACAAGUAGCAAUAAUGUAGUAUGUACAAGUAGUAAUAAUGUUGUAUGUACAAGUAGUAAUAACGCAAAUCAUCAAAAUGGAAAAUAUGAAAAAAAAAAUUUAAAAAACAAAGUGCAACUUUUUAAAGCUUGGCAGAAAAAAAGUGUAAAAAAAAAAUAUAUCACAGAUAACAUUACUUCCUUACAAAUUUAUGAAAAUAACGAAAAAAAUGAUACGAAUAAAAGUUUAAAAAAAGUACA